GACGGAGGGGGCGAGCGUUGUCCGGAAUUACUGGGCGUAAAGGGCGCGUAGGCGGUGGCGUACGGCGGUGGUGAAAGCUCCCGGCUCAACUGGGAGAGGUCCAUCGCGACGGCGUGACUGGAGGUUGGUAGAGGCAGACGGAAUUCCUGGUGUAGCGGCGAAAUGCGUAGAGAUCAGGAGGAACACCCGUGGCGAAGGCGGUCUGCUGGGCCACACCUGACGCUGAGGCGCGAAAGCACGGGUAGCGAAC
This 250-nucleotide ribosomal RNA is filed under the name uncultured bacterium. RNAcentral's name for it is "partial 16S ribosomal RNA". It matches the Rfam family "Bacterial small subunit ribosomal RNA", at positions 524 to 773 of the family's 1533-position model. The record is from RNAcentral.